RNAcentral lists this ribosomal RNA (254 nucleotides) under uncultured bacterium. RNAcentral's name for it is "partial 16S ribosomal RNA". It matches the Rfam family "Bacterial small subunit ribosomal RNA", at positions 524 to 776 of the family's 1533-position model. The record is from RNAcentral.
CACGUAGGGUGCGAGCGUUGUCCGGAAUUAUUGGGCGUAAAGAGCUCGUAGGCGGUGUGUCGCGUCGGCCGUGAAAACCUGCAGCUUAACUGUGGGCUUGCGGUCGAUACGGGCAUCACUGGAGUUCGGCAGGGGAGACUGGAAUUCCUGGUGUAGCGGUGAAAUGCGCAGAUAUCAGGAGGAACACCGGUGGCGAAGGCGGGUCUCUGGGCCGAUACUGACGCUGAGGAGCGAAAGUGUGGGGAGCAAACAGG